AUCUUUCCCACACGUGUAGGAACUUGCCUCUGUCAGAACAAGGAGGCUGGCAUUAGAACCCUUGCUUUAUGACAGUGAGGCAUUGGGGUGUGCUCAGCAUCUGCUGGCCUAGGGCUUACAGGCUGUUGGUUCUGAAAUCCCAUCUGUUUGGGAGAGGCACACAACACUGUGGGGGCAGUGUCAGCCUCUGAAUUCAGUCUAGCCAAGGGCAGGUGUCCUGCCAGCUCUAGGGUCCUGGGGCUGCCAUGACAAGCAUCAUGGACUGAGUGACUUAAAAAUCAGAAACUGAUUUCCUCACGGUUCUGGAGGCUGGAAGUCCAAGAUCAAAGUGUCAGCAAGACCAGAAUUUCCGACAGUAGCCAAAGCUUUGUUUUGCUCUUCAGUUAUGUCACGAGUCUUAUUUGAACAAUGUCGCUUUAUUGAGAACUGAGGCUUUGCCCAGACGGACGCCACGUGCUCGGCACAAACAUCUUGUUUUUAAUGAGGAAAGUGUAGACUCAAUAUCCACAAGGAAAAGGAAGCUUUUGGUAUCUGACAUUCCUGCCAGUCCUUUGGGGGGCUUGAAAUGUGUAACAUCUGGGCACGAUAAACAAUAAUAAGGUCUAAUAAUGUUUUCAGUGCUCAGCAUCUUCUUAAUAACCUGUCUACAGACCUUUUAAAUGCCCUACACAAAUAAUAACACUAAAGUUUUGAAACCACAGGCAUCAUUAGCUUGCAUGUCCUGAGAACCACUCUGCGGCACACGUGAUGUGACGUUCCUGGCUGAGAGAAACAUUUAUCACAGCACAGGGGGAAAUGCCUAAUGAGUUACAUGGAAACAAGACGUCCCGACUCUUGAAUUUGGGAUUUGUGCUCCAUCUUGAUGCAGGCACUGUGGACUGAAUGGUUGUGAUGAUUAAGUUCCAACUUGAGCCAGUGGAACAAUGCAAAAAAUCCAGCACUCUAUUUGGCUAACUUUUCUUUUUACAUUUUAAAUACGUUUGGGUUUUUGCACAGCUUUUAAAAAUCCUAAAUACAACUCGCAAGAAUUCUACCAAUGCAGCAGCAAGACAAGGCCGUAAUUUAUUUGGGAAAUUGACCAAAACAAAAAUACAUUUCUGGAAAAGGUGAAGAAUGACUUUCCCUUUCUCUUUCUCCGUUUGCUGAGCAGUUCUGUGUGCUUGGCUCAGGCAGGAGAAACAAGCAUUGAUAAAUUAGGUGUGGCGAGCCCCCUCCUGCCAUGUUUGGAUGGAGGACCUGUGGCAUGCUUUCCUUUAAUUACCUGUCAUUUUCUUUCUCUCCUUGGGAACGUCGGGGAGCUGUCCAGAAAAAUAAUUGCUUCACAUGUAGGGUGGGUCAAGACCUUUUCCAAGCUCUCUAGAAAAAAGAAUAAAAUAUUACAUUCAAAUACCUGUCUUGCAAAUACUUGUAUAUUUGUACUUCCCAUAAUUCCACUGUGCAAACAAGCGAUGGGCCUGGGUCAGUCCGGUAUUACCUUCCAAGGCGGCGGUUGUUAUGAGGAAUAAAAGGUGGAAAUAUGUGGUCUCUUUCUCGAAGACACGGAAAGUAACAAAACAUUCCUAAUUUAAAGUUAGCCAGGAAUAUGAGACAGCAUUUGUGUUUAUAGGGGAAUUGAAAACUACAAAGAAUGUGGUCGUUGUUUCAGAGAAGAGAUAUACAGGGGGCUGACAUGCUCACGGUGGGUUUCCCCCGAAGGCCAGCUGUGUCUUUCUAAAUUGAAG
Molecule: long non-coding RNA, 1721 nt
Organism: Equus caballus (horse)
Lineage: Eukaryota; Metazoa; Chordata; Mammalia; Perissodactyla; Equidae
Source: Ensembl